Molecule: long non-coding RNA, 472 nt
Organism: Daphnia carinata
Lineage: Eukaryota; Metazoa; Arthropoda; Branchiopoda; Diplostraca; Daphniidae
Exons: 3
Source: RefSeq, a predicted model, not a curated record
UUAACUGCAAUUAAGUGAUGUGUUUCCUGUGUAGUUGCUGGAAGUUAAGCAUACCAAAGUGUUCAUUUUUUAUGUAACGGGUAUUCUUGUAAGCUAUGCAAGAUGCCAAUUCUGAACAGUCAUAGACUGCCAUGUUAAGUGACUUUGGCAUUCCACCAUGUGCAUUGAGAGCUCUUGUUUGUGGAACUUGGAACACAAAAGAUACUAACCUGGAGGAAGGUUACCAAUAUUGUGAAUUCCUAGAAUCAAAACACAUUAUCUCAUUCUCUUACCCGUUGCCCAGUUAUGAGAAUCAGUUUUGAUCUGGUAGACACAUCAUGUUCCACUUCGUUUUGUUACAAGCGAUUAACCAUCACCAGCCAACACACAUAGACAUGGACAUCAGACCAAUCACUUGGAGUGCCAAGCCUUUGAGUUCUUCAGCAAAAUUGGCGGCUUUACAAUUUUUUCAGUCUUCGGACAACAUUCAUAA